Molecule: ribosomal RNA, 460 nt
Filed under: uncultured bacterium
Lineage: Bacteria
Description: partial 16S ribosomal RNA
Rfam family: Bacterial small subunit ribosomal RNA
Source: RNAcentral
CCUACGGGAGGCAGCAGUGAGGAAUAUUGGUCAAUGGGCUUACGCCUGAACCAGCCAAGCCGCGUGAGGGAAGACUGCCCUAUGGGUUGUAAACCCCUUUUGUCAGGGAGCAACGCCGGCUACGUGUAGCCGGACUGAGAGUACCUGAAGAAAAAGCAUCGGCUAACUCCGUGCCAGCAGCCGCGGUAAUACGGAGGAUGCGAGCGUUAUCCGGAUGUAUUGGGGUUACAGGGUGCGUAGGCGGAAUGCCAAGUCAGCGGUAAAAUCGCGGGGCUCAACCUCGCUCCGCCGUUGAAACUGGCGUUCUUGAGUGGGCGAGAAGUAUGCGGAAUGCGUGGUGUAGCGGUGAAAUGCAUAGAGAUCACGCAGAACUCCGAUUGCGAAGGCAGCAUACCGGCGCCCAACUGACGCUGAGGCACGAAAGCGUGGGUAGCGAACAGGAUUAGAUACCCUUGUAGUC